ACCAAUUAACCUAACAGUCAUGUUUUUGGACUGUGGGAGGAAGCCGGAGUACCCGGAGAGAACCCAGAGAUGCACAGGGAGGACAUGCAAACCCCCGGCCUGGGAGUCCAACCCAGGACCUUCUUGCUGCAAGAAAGUCCAUGGAGGAACCCUACAUUGUAAUAGGGGUAUCACCGACCACCAGAAAAGAAAUUGCUUCUGCUGAGGGCAGAUCAGACAUACCUUUGAAGAUGUUCAGCCCAGCAAGAAGUCAUGAAUAAAUCACUGGUCAGCAAGGCAUGAAAAAAAAAAUCAAAUAAAGACUCGUAUAUCUAAAGCUGUGAUCUCUUCACACAACUCUGGAAGAAUGAUGUGCAAACCAACAACAAAAUGAAAUCAUUUAAUGCCAACGGCUUCAUACAAGUGCUAGGUUUGUGUUUGUACAUAAAUGUGUUAAGUUUCAACAAAAUCAAAUGCAUCGCACCUUCUGCAAUGAAGCAUAUUUAAAGAAAUGUAUUCAGAAAAAUACACUAAAGUUUAAGAUAAUGUUUAAUCUUCUUUAUCAUGCCUCAUAGUAACUGAGAACAUGGUCUGUAUGGUCAUGGUAGAAUAACUGGGAAUUGAAAGCCAAUUAUGAAGGUUGUAAAACCACUGGGAGAAGCCCAGCUGGUUAUACAUCAAUGCAGUUGAAUUUGACCUGCAAUGAUUAGGGGAAAUUGCUCAUGACUUUGACAAUAAACUCAGGUCUCUGGAGGAAGGACCUCUUCACAAUCAUUCAUUCUAACAUAUGAGUAUUAACUUUGUAUAAUCUUGAAAAUUCAGCACAAGGCUUUGAUUUAAAAUGACAGAAGGCUUACGUCUGGGGCUCAGUUGAUGAAAUUUUAGGUGACAAACAGAAACUCAAUGCAUAAAAUGCAACUUUAACUACCAUGUCUGUUAAAUGGAUUAGAACUUGGAAGGUUUAACCAGAGAGCAGUUAUUUAGCUUAGUUUAUAACUCAGCUUUUUUUAAAAGGAAAACCUCACAAUUUAAUUUAUGUAUUAUUUAAGUCUAGUUUAGCUUGGUUUUGCUUAAUUUCGUUUAAGUAUUGGGAACAAAUAGCUUUUCUUUCUGGUGUGUACUCUAAUAUUAUAAAGAAGAAACUUAAAAAAAAAUGUAAUUGUUAUCUCUGCCAAGGAGGUUAUAUUUUUGUCAGCGUCUGUUUGUCCGUCACUCUGUCUGCAAAAUAUCUCUAAAAGUUGGAGUGACCCUAUUGCCUUGGUGGAGGUCUGUGUCUAUAAGGGCUUUUCUAGUUAUUUAUUUUACAUAAAAAUUUUUUUUCUUAAUGUACUGAUGUGAAAAAGCAAUGUUAUUUUCUGUGUGUUUAUUUACUGUGUUUAAAUUCUUAAAAAAGCUUUAAAUACAGUAUAUGUAAUUUUGUAGAGAUCAGAUUAAUGUUUAUUUUACAAACAAUGAAAUUU
Molecule: long non-coding RNA, 1439 nt
Organism: Girardinichthys multiradiatus
Lineage: Eukaryota; Metazoa; Chordata; Actinopteri; Cyprinodontiformes; Goodeidae
Exons: 4
Source: RefSeq, a predicted model, not a curated record